Molecule: ribosomal RNA, 253 nt
Filed under: uncultured bacterium
Lineage: Bacteria
Description: partial 16S ribosomal RNA
Rfam family: Bacterial small subunit ribosomal RNA
Source: RNAcentral
UACGUAGGGUGCAAGCGUUGUCCGGAAUUACUGGGCGUAAAGGGCUCGUAGGUGGCCAACUAAGUCAGACGUGAAAUCCCUCGGCUUAACCGGGGAACUGCGUCUGAUACUGGAUGGCUUGAGUUUGGGAGAGGGACGCGGAAUUCCAGGUGUAGCGGUGAAAUGCGUAGAUAUCUGGAGGAACACCGGUGGCGAAGGCGGCGUCCUGGACCAACACUGACACUGAUGAGCGAAAGCCAGGGGAGCAAACGGG